RNAcentral lists this ribosomal RNA (504 nucleotides) under uncultured Glomeromycotina. RNAcentral's name for it is "partial small subunit ribosomal RNA". It matches the Rfam family "Eukaryotic small subunit ribosomal RNA", at positions 591 to 1092 of the family's 1831-position model. The record is from RNAcentral. Lineage: Eukaryota; Fungi; Glomeromycota.
CCAAUAGUGUAUAUUAGUGUUGUUGCGGUUAAAAAGCUCGUAGUUGAAUUUCGGGAUUGGGAUAUAUCGGUCGUGCCUUUAGGGGCAUGAAUCGGUGUGUGGCCAAUUCUCUCACCUUCUGGUGAAUUGGGAUGCUCUUGGGUGUUUCAAUGAACUAGGACUUUUACUUUGAAAAAAUUAGAGUGUUUAAAGCAGGCAUUUUUGCUUGAAUACGUUAGCAUGGAAUAAUAAAAUAGGACGAUGGUUCUAUUUUGUUGGUUUUAGGACCACGUAAUGAUUAAUAGGGAUAGUUGGGGGCAUUAGUAUUCAAUUGUCAGAGGUGAAAUUCUUGGAUUUAUUGAGGACUAACUACUGCGAAAGCAUUUGCCAAGGAUGUUUUCAUUAAUCAAGAACGAAAGUUAGGGGAUCAAAGACGAUUUAUGUACGUCGUAGUCUUAACCAUAAACUAUGCCAACUAGGAAUCAGACAAAGUUAAUUUUUUAACGACUUGUUUGGUACCUUACG